Molecule: small RNA, 584 nt
Filed under: Pongo abelii (Sumatran orangutan)
Lineage: Eukaryota; Metazoa; Chordata; Mammalia; Primates; Hominidae
Description: processed transcript
Source: RNAcentral
GCUCCGCAGCCGUCUGUGCCACCCAGAGCCGGCGGGCCGCUAGGUCCCCGGAGACCCUGCUAUGGUACGCGCGGGCGCCGUGGGGGCACAUCUCCCCGCGUCCGGCUUGGAUAUCUUCGGGGACCUGAAGAAGAUGAACAAGCGCCAGUUGAGGAAAAUGAUGUUGCCCAGAGCCACGUGAUCCAGGUCCUCACUCCAAACUCAAUUCAAAAGUAUGUUCUGGAAAGCUGGUAGGGAGCUAAGGUGGGAUCUAACCUGUCUAACAUCACUGCCUCCAAAACACUAAAACUAUAUUAAUAGCAAGGAGAGUUUAGAAGUUAUCAGUUACUCAAGGAUAUGCCCAGGAAAGGAAACAAGAUCAGCCAAAUACUAGAAGCUGGAAAACAGAUGGAAGAAUGGGAACUGGCACAGCCAGAGAAAGCCAGGAUGUGAGCGGCACUGGGGGAGGCUGUGGCUCUUCAGGUUUGUGAGGCAGAGAGAGUCCUCAGAGACCCAGGAAUUGGUGUCCCCAGAACUGAAGGUGAAGGGGAGGUAGGGCUGAAGUAAAUUUGAUUGGGUAGAAAAGCAGAGAAGUAGUGAGACCC